Molecule: ribosomal RNA, 245 nt
Filed under: uncultured bacterium
Lineage: Bacteria
Description: partial small subunit ribosomal RNA
Rfam family: Bacterial small subunit ribosomal RNA
Source: RNAcentral
AGAAUCAACGCUGGCGGCGUGCCUAACACAUGCAAGUCGAACGAGAAAGUGGAGCAAUCCAUGAGUAAAGUGGCGCACGGGUGAGUAACACGUGACUAACCUACCCUUGAGUGGGGGAUAACCUAGAGAAAUCUGGGCUAAUACCGCAUAAUACCUUCGGGUCAAAGGAGCAAUUCGCUUAAGGAGGGGUCGCGGCCGAUUAGUUAGUUGGCGGGGUAAUGGCCCACCAAGACUGUGAGUCGGUA